AAGGCAUUCAUAGCCUUUGCGUUUAAAGAAAAAUACUUCUUCUCUAAAUCCGACCAUUCGUUCAUCGGUUUAGAGGGAAGUUGAAAACCGUUUUCAACGAUAUUCCAUAAAUCCAGAUUUAGAGAAAUCAAGAAAACUCUCAUUCGAGUUUUCCAAUAAGUGUAGUCCAAUCCGUUAAAGAACGGUGGACGAAAGACCGAAAAGCCCUCUUGAAGAGCCAUUUCUCUCGGGUGUAAAUCCGAAAUGAGAAAUACCCCGCUCUGAUACCAAUUGUUAGGAUCGAGAGCACUAAGAGGGGGGGGUGAAUUAGUGCAGCGGAAAUCGUUUAGCGAUU
RNAcentral lists this long non-coding RNA (334 nucleotides) under Musa acuminata (dwarf banana). RNAcentral describes it as "long non-coding RNA (MACU_LNC002667)". The record is from RNAcentral. Lineage: Eukaryota; Viridiplantae; Streptophyta; Magnoliopsida; Zingiberales; Musaceae.